RNAcentral lists this ribosomal RNA (404 nucleotides) under Grigiotermes hageni. RNAcentral's name for it is "partial 12S ribosomal RNA". The record is from RNAcentral. Lineage: Eukaryota; Metazoa; Arthropoda; Insecta; Blattodea; Termitidae.
UAUUAUUUUGGAUCGUUAAUUUUUGUGCCUGAGUAGUAUUAGUUAUGUUCUUGAAACUUAAAGAAUUUGGCGGUAUCUUAUUCCAUCCAGAGGAAUCUGUCUCGUUAUCGAUAGUCCGCGUUGGACCUUACUUAGUUGCUUUGGUUUGUAUACCGCCGUUUAUUGAUUAUCUUUUUAGGGUUUGUUUAAUUUUCUGGUUUCUUUAUUUUGAUUUAUUUCAGGUCAAGGUGCAGCUUGUUUCUAAGUGGAACGAUGGAUUACAUUGGUAUUUGUUUAUUUGGAUUAUUGAUUUUAAUAUUGGUAUGAAAUUGGAUUUGGUUGUAAUGUUUUGUAGAUUGUCUUCAUGAUAAUUGGUUCUGGGGUAUGUACACAUCGCCCGUCGCUCUCGUUUAUUUGUUAAUGAG